CCGACGUUGGAUUAUCUUUAGCUCUUCUUAACUCCUCGGGAGUGAAAUACCUUCCUGAGCGAGUCAAACCUUGUGCUUCACAAACUUCUUCUUUGACUUCUUUCCCUUUGUAAAUCACCGUCACCCGUUCAUAAUUCCAAGGCGACCUAGAACUUAAAUGUAUUCCCGCAUUAUACUGGUGGGCGACCUAGAACUUAAAAGUAUUCCCGCAUUUUACUGGUGGGCGACCUAGAACUUAAAAGUAUUCCCGCAUUUUACUGGUCGGCGACCUAGAACUUAAAUGUAUUCCCGCAUUAUACUGGUGGGCGACCUAGAACUUAAAUGUAUUCCCGCAUUAUACUGGUGGGCGACCUAGAACUUAAAAGUAUUCCCGCAUUUUACUGGUGGGCGACCUAGAACUUAAAUGUAUUCCCG
Molecule: long non-coding RNA, 414 nt
Filed under: Nicotiana tabacum (common tobacco)
Lineage: Eukaryota; Viridiplantae; Streptophyta; Magnoliopsida; Solanales; Solanaceae
Description: long non-coding RNA (NTAB_LNC000503)
Source: RNAcentral